GAUGAACGCUGGCGGCGUGCCUAAUACAUGCAAGUCGAGCGAACAGACGAGGAGCUUGCUCCUCUGACGUUAGCGGCGGACGGGUGAGUAACACGUGGAUCACCUACCUAUAAGACUGGGAUAACUUCGGGAAACCGGAGCUAAUACCGGAUAAUAUAUUGAACCGCAUGGUUCAAUAGUGAAAGACGGUUUUGCUGUCACUUCUAGAUGGAUCCGCGCCGCAUUAGCUAGUUGGUAAGGUAACGGCUUACCAAGGCGACGAUGCGUAGCCGACCUGAGAGGGUGAUCGGCCACACUGGAACUGAGACACGGUCCAGACUCCUACGGGAGGCAGCAGUAGGGAAUCUUCCGCAAUGGGCGAAAGCCUGACGGAGCAACGCCGCGUGAGUGAUGAAGGUCUUCGGAUCGUAAAGCUCUGUUAUUAGGGAAGAACAAAUGUGUAAGUAACUAUGCACGUCUUGACGGUACCUAAUCAGAAAGCCACGGCUAACUACGUG
RNAcentral lists this ribosomal RNA (497 nucleotides) under uncultured bacterium. Its description in RNAcentral is "partial 16S ribosomal RNA". It matches the Rfam family "Bacterial small subunit ribosomal RNA", at positions 28 to 507 of the family's 1533-position model. The record is from RNAcentral.